GGGGCGGAUGUAGCCAAGUGGAUUAAGGCAGGGGA
RNAcentral lists this transfer RNA (35 nucleotides) under Brassica juncea (brown mustard). RNAcentral's name for it is "partial tRNA-His". Lineage: Eukaryota; Viridiplantae; Streptophyta; Magnoliopsida; Brassicales; Brassicaceae. The record is from RNAcentral.